This 253-nucleotide ribosomal RNA is filed under the name uncultured bacterium. Its description in RNAcentral is "partial 16S ribosomal RNA". It matches the Rfam family "Bacterial small subunit ribosomal RNA", at positions 524 to 776 of the family's 1533-position model. The record is from RNAcentral.
UACAGAGGGGGCUAGCGUUGUUCGGAAUUACUGGGCGUAAAGCGCGCGUAGGCGGCCCGGUAAGUCCGCUGUAAAAGUCCAGGGCUCAACCCUGGAACGCCGGUGGAUACUGUCGGGCUAGAGUCCGGAAGAGGCGAGUGGAAUUCCUGGUGUAGCGGUGAAAUGCGCAGAUAUCAGGAAGAACACCCGUGGCUAAGGCGGCUCUCUAGUACGGUACUGACGCUGAGACGCGAAAGCGUGGGGAGCGAACAGG